RNAcentral lists this ribosomal RNA (1339 nucleotides) under uncultured bacterium. Its description in RNAcentral is "bacterial SSU rRNA". It matches the Rfam family "Bacterial small subunit ribosomal RNA", at positions 28 to 1387 of the family's 1533-position model. The record is from RNAcentral.
GACGAGCGCUGGCGGCACGCUUAACACAUGCAAGUCGAACGAGAGAAGAGAAGCUUGCUUUUCUGAUCUAGUGGCGGACGGGUGAGUAACACGUGAGCAAUCUGCCUUUCAGAGGGGGAUACCGAUUGGAAACGAUCGUUAAUACCGCAUAACAUAAUUGAACCGCAUGAUUUGAUUAUCAAAGAUUUAUCGCUGAAAGAUGAGCUCGCGUCUGAUUAGCUAGUUGGUAAGGUAACGGCUUACCAAGGCGACGAUCAGUAGCCGGACUGAGAGGUUGAUCGGCCACAUUGGGACUGAGACACGGCCCAGACUCCUACGGGAGGCAGCAGUGGGGAAUAUUGCACAAUGGAGGAAACUCUGAUGCAGCGAUGCCGCGUGAGGGAAGAAGGUUUUAGGAUUGUAAACCUCUGUCUUCAGGGACGAAAAAAGACGGUACCUGAGGAGGAAGCUCCGGCUAACUACGUGCCAGCAGCCGCGGUAAUACGUAGGGAGCGAGCGUUGUCCGGAAUUACUGGGUGUAAAGGGAGCGUAGGCGGGAUCGCAAGUCAGAUGUGAAAACUAUGGGCUUAACCCAUAAACUGCAUUUGAAACUGUGGUUCUUGAGUGAAGUAGAGGUAAGCGGAAUUCCUAGUGUAGCGGUGAAAUGCGUAGAUAUUAGGAGGAACAUCAGUGGCGAAGGCGGCUUACUGGGCUUUAACUGACGCUGAGGCUCGAAAGCGUGGGGAGCAAACAGAAUUAGAUACCCUGGUAGUCCACGCCGUAAACGAUGAUUACUAGGUGUGGGGGGACUGACCCCUUCCGUGCCGCAGCAAACGCAAUAAGUAAUCCACCUGGGGAGUACGACCGCAAGGUUGAAACUCAAAGGAAUUGACGGGGGCCCGCACAAGCAGUGGAGUAUGUGGAUUAAUUCGAAGCAACGCGAAGAACCUUACCAGGUCUUGACAUCGUAUGCAUAGCUCAGAGAUGAGUGAAAUCUCUUCGGAGACAUAUAGACAGGUGGUGCAUGGUUGUCGUCAGCUCGUGUCGUGAGAUGUUGGGUUAAGUCCCGCAACGAGCGCAACCCUUACUGUUAGUUGCUACGCAAGAGCACUCUAGCAGGACUGCCGUUGACAAAACGGAGGAAGGUGGGGAUGACGUCAAAUCAUCAUGCCCCUUAUGACCUGGGCCUCACACGUACUACAAUGGCUGUCAACAGAGGGAAGCAAAGCCGCGAGGUGGAGCAAACCCCUAAAAGCAGUCUUAGUUCGGAUUGUAGGCUGCAACCCGCCUACAUGAAGUCGGAAUUGCUAGUAAUCGCAGAUCAGCAUGCUGCGGUGAAUACGUUCCCGGGCCUUGCACA